ACAUGUCUUUUUGAAAUUAAUUUAAAGUCUAACCUGCCCACUGAAAAUUUAAAUGGCCGCAGUAUCCUAACUGUGCAAAGGUAGCAUAAUCAUUAGUCUUUUAAUUGAAGGCUUGUAUGAAUGGUUGGACGAGAUAUUAACUGUUUCAAUUAAAAUUUUUAUAGAAUUUUAUUUUUUAGUUAAAAAGCUAAAAUACUAUUAAAAGACGAGAAGACCCUAUAAAUCUUUAUAUUAAUUAUAUUAUAUUUAUAUAGGAUAAUUAAAUUAUAAUAUUUUUUAAUAUUUUAUUGGGGUGAUAUUAAAAUUUAAUAAACUUUUAUUUCUGAAACUCAUUAAUUUAUGAAUAAUUGAUCCGUUUUUAGCGAUUAAAAAUUUAAGUUACUUUAGGGAUAACAGCGUAAUUUUCUUGGAGAGUUCAUAUCGAUAGGAAAGAUUGCGACCUCGAUGUUGGAUUAAGAUAUAGUCUUGGGUGCAGCAAUUCAAGAUUUAAGUCUGUUCGACUUUUUAAAUCUUACAUGAUCU
This 522-nucleotide ribosomal RNA is filed under the name Gluma musgravei. Its description in RNAcentral is "partial 16S ribosomal RNA". It matches the Rfam family "Bacterial large subunit ribosomal RNA", at positions 1815 to 2606 of the family's 2925-position model. The record is from RNAcentral. Lineage: Eukaryota; Metazoa; Arthropoda; Insecta; Diptera; Coelopidae.